Molecule: ribosomal RNA, 253 nt
Filed under: uncultured bacterium
Lineage: Bacteria
Description: partial 16S ribosomal RNA
Rfam family: Bacterial small subunit ribosomal RNA
Source: RNAcentral
UACGAAGGGGGCUAGCGUUGCUCGGAAUCACUGGGCGUAAAGGGUGCGUAGGCGGGUCUUUAAGUCAGGGGUGAAAUCCUGGAGCUCAACUCCAGAACUGCCUUUGAUACUGAGGAUCUUGAGUUCGGGAGAGGUGAGUGGAACUGCGAGUGUAGAGGUGAAAUUCGUAGAUAUUCGCAAGAACACCAGUGGCGAAGGCGGCCCACUGGCCCGAUACUGACGCUGAGGCACGAAAGCGUGGGGAGCAAACAGG